GGGUGUGUGUAUGUGUGUGUGUGUGUGUUUAACUGAGAGUACUGAGAUGAUUUACUACCAGGGUUGUCAUGAAGAUGAAACAAGCUUGGAUGUUCUGUUCUGCAGUUACCUAAUAUCUCGCAAUGAGAAAGGUUUGCGUCCAGCGAUGGAGGA
RNAcentral lists this long non-coding RNA (153 nucleotides) under Homo sapiens (human). RNAcentral's name for it is "novel transcript". Lineage: Eukaryota; Metazoa; Chordata; Mammalia; Primates; Hominidae. The record is from RNAcentral.